RNAcentral lists this ribosomal RNA (301 nucleotides) under uncultured bacterium. RNAcentral's name for it is "partial 16S ribosomal RNA". It matches the Rfam family "Bacterial small subunit ribosomal RNA", at positions 509 to 807 of the family's 1533-position model. The record is from RNAcentral.
CAGUAGCCGCGGUAAUACGAAGGGGGCUAGCGUUGUUCGGAUUUACUGGGCGUAAAGCGCACGUAGGCGGAUCGAUCAGUCAGGGGUGAAAUCCCAGAGCUCAACUCUGGAACUGCCUUUGAUACUGUCGAUCUGGAGUAUGGAAGAGGUGAGUGGAAUUCCGAGUGUAGAGGUGAAAUUCGUAGAUAUUCGGAGGAACACCAGUGGCGAAGGCGGCUCACUGGUCCAUUACUGACGCUGAGGUGCGAAAGCGUGGGGAGCAAACAGGAUUAGAUACCCGCGUAGUCCCUGUCUCUUAUAC